RNAcentral lists this ribosomal RNA (483 nucleotides) under uncultured bacterium. RNAcentral's name for it is "partial 16S ribosomal RNA". It matches the Rfam family "Bacterial small subunit ribosomal RNA", at positions 28 to 523 of the family's 1533-position model. The record is from RNAcentral.
GAUGAACGCUAGCGGCAGGCUUAAUACAUGCAAGUCGAGGGGGCAGCAAUGUCACCGGCGAACGGGUGCGUAACGCGUAUGCAACCUACCCAUAUCAGGGGGAUAGCCUUAGGAAACUGAUAUUAACACCGCAUAAUAUUGGAUGUGGCAUCACAAUCAAUUAAAAUAUUUAUAGGAUAUGGAUGGGCAUGCGUAGGAUUAGCUAGUUGGGAAGGUAAUGGCUUACCAAGGCAAUGGUCCUUAGGGGCUCUGAGAGGAGUAUCCCCCACACUGGCAAUGAGAUACGGGCCAGACUCCUACGGGAGGCAGCAGUAGGGAAUAUUGGGCAAUGGAGGCAACUCUGACCCAGCCAUGCCGCGUGCAGGAAGACGGUCCUCUGGAUUGUAAACUGCUUUUGAAUGGGAAGAACAUACAGUUUGCGAACUGUACUGACGGUACUAUUAGAAUAAGCACCGGCUAACUCCGUGCCAGCAGCCGCAGUAA